UCNCAGAAUUCAAGGAUGCCAAACCAUUG
Molecule: non-coding RNA, 29 nt
Filed under: Mus musculus (house mouse)
Lineage: Eukaryota; Metazoa; Chordata; Mammalia; Rodentia; Muridae
Source: RNAcentral